RNAcentral lists this ribosomal RNA (972 nucleotides) under Pseudomonas plecoglossicida. RNAcentral describes it as "bacterial SSU rRNA". It matches the Rfam family "Bacterial small subunit ribosomal RNA", at positions 1 to 906 of the family's 1533-position model. The record is from RNAcentral. Lineage: Bacteria; Pseudomonadati; Pseudomonadota; Gammaproteobacteria; Pseudomonadales; Pseudomonadaceae.
AGAGCCCGGUAAGUUUCUUCGCGUUUGUUCGAAUUAAAACAACUGUUCUCCCGGUUUUGGGGGCGUCCGGAAUUUUUUUAGCAACAGAGUUUGAUCUGCUCAGAUUGAACGCUGGCGGCAGGCCUAACACAUGCAAGUCGAGCGGAUGACGGGAGCUUGCUCCUUGAUUCAGCGGCGGACGGGUGAGUAAUACCUAGGAAUCUGCCUGGUAGUGGGGGACAACGUUUCGAAAGGAACGCUAAUACCGCAUACGUCCUACGGGAGAAAGCAGGGGACCUUCGGGCCUUGCGCUAUCAGAUGAGCCUAGGUCGGAUUAGCUAGUUGGUGAGGUAAUGGCUCACCAAGGCGACGAUCCGUAACUGGUCUGAGAGGAUGAUCAGUCACACUGGAACUGAGACACGGUCCAGACUCCUACGGGAGGCAGCAGUGGGGAAUAUUGGACAAUGGGCGAAAGCCUGAUCCAGCCAUGCCGCGUGUGUGAAGAAGGUCUUCGGAUUGUAAAGCACUUUAAGUUGGGAGGAAGGGCAUUAACCUAAUACGUUAGUGUUUUGACGUUACCGACAGAAUAAGCACCGGCUAACUCUGUGCCAGCAGCCGCGGUAAUACAGAGGGUGCAAGCGUUAAUCGGAAUUACUGGGCGUAAAGCGCGCGUAGGUGGUUCGUUAAGUUGGAUGUGAAAUCCCCGGGCUCAACCUGGGAACUGCAUCCAAAACUGGCGAGCUAGAGUAGGGCAGAGGGUGGUGGAAUUUCCUGUGUAGCGGUGAAAUGCGUAGAUAUAGGAAGGAACACCAGUGGCGAAGGCGACCACCUGGGCUCAUACUGACACUGAGGUGCGAAAGCGUGGGGAGCAAACAGGAUUAGAUACCCUGGUAGUCCACGCCGUAAACGAUGUCAACUAGCCGUUGGAAUCCUUGAGAUUUUAGUGGCGCAGCUAACGCAUUAAGUGACCGAAGGGACGCGCAUGUAAAAAAG